RNAcentral lists this ribosomal RNA (692 nucleotides) under uncultured bacterium. RNAcentral describes it as "bacterial SSU rRNA". It matches the Rfam family "Bacterial small subunit ribosomal RNA", at positions 34 to 715 of the family's 1533-position model. The record is from RNAcentral.
CGCUAGCUACAGGCUUAACACAUGCAAGUCGAGGGGUAACGAGAGGAAAGCUUGCUUUUCUUGUCGACGACCGGCGCACGGGUGAGUAACGCGUAUCCAACCUGCCCACAACUAGAGAAUAACCUUGCGAAAGUAAGACUAAUGCUCUAUAAGUUCCUUAGAUGGCAUCUGACGAGGAAUAAAGAUUUAUCGGUUAUGGAUGGGGAUGCGUCUGAUUAGCUUGUUGGCGGGGUAACGGCCCACCAAGGCAACGAUCAGUAGGGGUUCUGAGAGGAAGGUCCCCCACAUUGGAACUGAGACACGGUCCAAACUCCUACGGGAGGCAGCAGUGAGGAAUAUUGGUCAAUGGGCGCAAGCCUGAACCAGCCAAGUAGCGUGCAGGAUGACGGCCCUAUGGGUUGUAAACUGCUUUUAUACAGGGAUAAAGUUAGCCACGUGUGGCUAUUUGCAGGUACUGUAUGAAUAAGGACCGGCUAAUUCCGUGCCAGCAGCCGCGGUAAUACGGAAGGUCCAGGCGUUAUCCGGAUUUAUUGGGUUUAAAGGGAGCGUAGGCCGUCUGUUAAGCGUGUUGUGAAAUGUAGAUGCUCAACAUCUGAAUUGCAGCGCGAACUGGCAGACUUGAGUGUGCGCAACGUAGGCGGAAUUCGUGGUGUAGCGGUGAAAUGCUUAGAUAUCACGAAGAACUCCGAUUG